Molecule: long non-coding RNA, 1033 nt
Filed under: Anthonomus grandis grandis
Lineage: Eukaryota; Metazoa; Arthropoda; Insecta; Coleoptera; Curculionidae
Description: uncharacterized LOC126743508
Source: RNAcentral
GGCUAUUUAAGUGAAAAGCACAAGAUUGAAAUCUUAAUGAUGACGCGGUAUGGAGAUAGAACAAGAACCCAAAAUGAAGUUUUGCAUUUAUUCAGACAGAAGUAUCCUGAUUUACCUCCCAUAUCUCAAAGUACUAUAAGUAAGAUUGAAAAACAGUUUCGGGAAAAUGGUCACGUAAGAACAAUAACUAGUUCUCGUCGAUCUGCGCUUAAUGAAGACCCCAAAAUCAAUGUUUUAUUAGCCAAUGAAGAAAGUCGUAAUAUUCCCACUAAGCAGGUACCGCGCGAAUUGGAAGUGAGCCAGUCUUCAGUAGAACUCAAUGAGGAGGAUGCAGAUAGAAGAAUUAAAUUUUGUGAACAAUUUAUGGAAUCAAUGCAGAAUAAUAAUCUUAUCACAGAAAACAUUCUCUUUUCCGGUGAGUCGACAUUUAUGCUGCACAGAGAAGUAAAUCGUCAAAAUUGCCGUUAUUGGGCACAAGAAAAUCCAUGUUGGAUGAGGCAAGGCCACACUCAGAAAAAGUAAAUGUUUUUGCAGAAAUUCUAGAUCAGCAAGUUACAGGCCCAAUUUUCUUCAAAGAAAAUUUAAAUGGAGCAAGAAGCUGAUAUGCCGAAUAGAAACAUCUGGCCUUCCCAUUUUACGAGAACUGCUUGAAACUAUCUGGAUACUAUUUUUCCAGGAAGAUGGAUUGGCAGGAGAGGACCUUUUGAAUGGCCACCAAGAUCGCCCGAUUUGAUUCCGCUGGAUUUCUUCCUAUGGGGAUAUUUGAAAUCCAAAGUUUAUGUGACCAUGCUGGCAAAUAUUGAGGAGUUGAAAACUUGAAUAAGGCAAGAGUAUCGAAACAUUUCUCUAGAAUGCAUAUGAAACGUUAAAAAUUAAUUUGUAGUACCUUUAGGGCAUUGCCAAAUAGUAAAUGGUUUACAUUUUGAACACUUAUUAAAGAAAAAGAUUUAAAAGAACCCUCUUUAAGUUUAUGAAAUACAUUUUCUUUAACGCCCUGUAUCUUAAAAACAAUUGAAUAAAGGUAUUUAUUUAU